RNAcentral lists this unclassified non-coding RNA (240 nucleotides) under Hevea brasiliensis (rubber tree). Lineage: Eukaryota; Viridiplantae; Streptophyta; Magnoliopsida; Malpighiales; Euphorbiaceae. The record is from RNAcentral.
AGAUUUUGUGUUUUGCCUAUCAAAUACAAUUGUGGGGAAAUAAGGGCAUACCGCAUACGCAUCUAUGAUCAUGAUAUUAUAUAAGUCAUCUUCUGUAAAUUCGAGAAACUUCAACUAUUUAAAUGUAAAGAACAUAGCACCUUGAUAAAAAACGAGUGCCUGACUGUCAAUAUGCCACGCAAAAUUUGAGUUACUUUUUAAGGAUACGAGUUCCUUCAACUUUCUGCAAGUAGAGAAUUU